This 421-nucleotide ribosomal RNA is filed under the name uncultured Ohtaekwangia sp. Its description in RNAcentral is "partial 16S ribosomal RNA". It matches the Rfam family "Bacterial small subunit ribosomal RNA", at positions 355 to 774 of the family's 1533-position model. Lineage: Bacteria; Pseudomonadati; Bacteroidota; Cytophagia; Cytophagales; Fulvivirgaceae. The record is from RNAcentral.
UAGGGAAUAUUGGUCAAUGGGUGAGAGCCUGAACCAGCCAUGCCGCGUGCAGGAAGAAGGCCUUCUGGGUUGUAAACUGCUUUUGCCAGGGGAUAAAACGGUCGUGCGCGACUAAUUGAAGGUACCUGGUGAAUAAGCCACGGCUAACUACGUGCCAGCAGCCGCGGUAAUACGUAGGUGGCAAGCGUUGUCCGGAUUUAUUGGGUUUAAAGGGUGCGUAGGCGGCCCUGUAAGUCAGUGCUGAAAUCCCCCGGCUUAACCGGGGUGGUGGCAUUGAUACUGCAGGGCUUGAGUACAGAUGAGGUAGGCGGAAUUGACGGUGUAGCGGUGAAAUGCAUAGAUAUCGUCAAGAACACCGAUAGCGAAGGCAGCUUACUGGGCUGUAACUGACGCUGAUGCACGAAAGUGUGGGGAUCAAACA